GCGUGUGUGAAGAAGGUCUUCGGAUUGUAAAGCACUUUCGACGGGGACGAUGAUGACGGUACCCGUAGAAGAAGCCCCGGCUAACUUCGUGCCAGCAGCCGCGGUAAUACGAAGGGGGCUAGCGUUGCUCGGAAUGACUGGGCGUAAAGGGCGCGUAGGCGGUUCAUACAGUCAGAUGUGAAAUUCCCGGGCUUAACCUGGGGGCUGCAUUUGAUACGUGUGGGCUUGAGUGAGGAAGAGGGUUGUGGAAUUCCCAGUGUAGAGGUGAAAUUCGU
Molecule: ribosomal RNA, 275 nt
Filed under: uncultured bacterium
Lineage: Bacteria
Description: partial 16S ribosomal RNA
Rfam family: Bacterial small subunit ribosomal RNA
Source: RNAcentral